Small nucleolar RNA from Peromyscus eremicus (cactus mouse), 140 nucleotides. The record is from RefSeq and is a predicted model, not a curated record. Lineage: Eukaryota; Metazoa; Chordata; Mammalia; Rodentia; Cricetidae.
GGCCUGUUGAGAUUGCAUCCGGAGAGUGGCUAGUAUUCCGCCAGCUUCAGAAGCGGGAGGGAGAGCAAGCUUAGCAGAGGAACCCAUUCCAUUCCCAGUAUGCUCAGUAGCUGGUGAUUGGAAGACACCCUGCAGCAUCA